Molecule: ribosomal RNA, 328 nt
Filed under: uncultured eukaryote
Lineage: Eukaryota
Description: partial 18S ribosomal RNA
Rfam family: Eukaryotic small subunit ribosomal RNA
Source: RNAcentral
CCCUUAGAUGUCCUGGGCCGCACGCGCGCUACACUGAUGCAUGCAACGAGUUUAUAACCUUGGCCUGAAAGGUCUGGGUAAUCUUUUGAACGUGCAUCGUGAUAGGGAUAGAUUAUUGCAAUUGUUAAUCUUGAACGAGGAAUUCCUAGUAAACGCGAGUCAUCAGCUCGCAUUGAUUACGUCCCUGCCCUUUGUACACACCGCCCGUCGCACCUACCGAUUGAAUGGUUCGGUGAAGAUCUCGGACUUCGAUAUUUAUUCUUUAUUGAGUUUACAUUGUGGGAAGUUAUCUAAACCUCAUCAUUUAGAGGAAGGUGAAGUCGUAACA